CUCUGUGCUGAUAAAACCAGCCCAGUCCCGACACUGUAGCUGGGAGAGAAGCCCCAACCCCGGGAGUCCCAGGUGCUCCCAUUCUGUGAUCAGCACAGAACACAGACACCACACCAUGGAGUUUGUGCUUGGCUGGGUUUUCCUUGUUGCUCUUUUAAAAGGUGUCCAGUGUGAUGUGCAGCUGGUGGAAUCUGGGGGAGACCUGGUGAAGUCUGGGGGGUCCCUGAGACUCACCUGUGUGGCCUCUGGAUUCACCUUCAGUAGCUAUAGCAUGAACUGGGUCCGCCAGGCUCCAGGGAAGGGGCUGCAGUGGGUCGCAUAUAUUAGUAGUAGUGGAGGUAGCAUAUACUACGCAGACUCCGUGAAGGGCCGAUUCACCAUCUCCAGAGACAAUGCCAAGAACACGCUGUAUCUGCAGAUGAACAGCCUGAAGACCGAGGACACGGCCACAUAUUACUGUGCGAGUGACACAGUGAGGGGACUUCACUGGGAGCCCAGACACAAACCUUCCUGCAGGAGGGGAACAGCACCACCAGGGGGUGAACACUAUGCACAAUUUUGCUUUGUGUUCCCAGGAGCAGGUGCAGUUGGAGGAUACAGGCAGGUUUCCUGUCAGGGUCUUGGGGCUUCCUCUCCACACAGCCGUUUCCCCAGGGAUCCACCCUGGACACAGGAUUCUGUGAUUACCUAUUAACCCUGAAUUAGCAAC
This is a non-coding RNA of Felis catus (domestic cat), 709 nucleotides long. NCBI's taxonomy places the organism in Eukaryota, Metazoa, Chordata, Mammalia, Carnivora, Felidae. The record is from the annotation of a RefSeq genome assembly.